This 1611-nucleotide long non-coding RNA is filed under the name Carassius auratus (goldfish). RNAcentral's name for it is "lncRNA (ENSCARG00000017455.1)". Lineage: Eukaryota; Metazoa; Chordata; Actinopteri; Cypriniformes; Cyprinidae. The record is from RNAcentral.
AUGCAUGAAAUAGCAUUUCACCCCCCCUUUAACGAUAAAUCCCCUGUUAUGUUUGUACUGGCUACUGUAUACAGGCCACCAGGCCACCAUACAGACUUUAUUAAAGAGUUUGGUGAUUUUACAUCCGAGUUAGUUCUGGCUGCAGAUAAAGUUUUAUUAGUUGGUGAUUUUAAUAUCCAUGUUGAUAAUGAAAAAGAUGCAUUGGGAUCAGCAUUUAUAGACAUUCUGAACUCUAUUGGUGUUAGACCUACUCAUUGUCGAAAUCAUACUCUAGAUUUAAAACUGUCACAUGGAAUUGAUGUUGAUAGUGUUGAAAUUAUUCAGCCAAGUGAUGAUAUCUCAGAUCAUUAUUUAGUUCUGUGCAAACUUCAUAUAGCCAAAAUUGUAAAUUCUACUUCUUGUUACAAGUAUCGAAGAACCAUCACUUCUACCACAAAAGACAGCUUUUUAAGUUAUCUUCCUGAUGUAUCCAUAUUCCUUAGCAUAUCCAAAACCUCAGAACAACUUGAUGAUGUAACAGAAACUAUGGACUCUCUCUUUUCUAGCACUUUAAAUACAGUUGCUCCUUUACGCUUAAGGAAGGUUAAGGAAAACAGUUUGACACCAUGGUAUAAAGAGCAUACUCGCACCCUAAAGAGAGCAGCCCGAAAAAUGGAGCACAGCUGGAGGAAAACAAAACUAGAGGUAUUUCGUAUUGCUUGGCGGGAAAGUAGCAUAUCCUACAGAAAAGCAUUAAAAACUGCUAGAUCUGAUUACUUUUCUUCUAUUUUAGAUGAAAACAAACAUAACCCCAGGUAUUUAUUCAAUACAGUGGCUAAAUUAACGAAAAAUAAAGCCUCAACAAGUGUUGACAUUUCCCAACACCACAGCAGUAAUGACUUUAUGAACUACUUUACUUCUAAAAUCGAUACUAUUGGAGAUAAAAUUGCAACCAUUCAGCCGUCAGCUACAGUAUCACAUCAGACAGUGCACUAUAGACCACCUGAGGAACAGUUCCACUCAUUCUCUACUAUAGGAGAGGAAGAAUUGUAUAAACUUGUUAAAUCAUCUAAACCAACAACAUGUAUGUUAGACCCUAUACCAUCUAAGCUCCUAAAAGAGGUGCUUCCAGAAGUCAUAGGUCCUCUUCUGACUAUUAUUAAUUCCUCAUUGUCAUUAGGAUAUGUCCCCAAAACCUUCAAACUGGCUGUUAUUAAGCCUCUCAUAAAAAAACCACAACUUGACCCCAAAGAACUUGUUAAUUAUAGACCAAUCUCGAAUCUCCCUUUUCUGUCCAAGAUACUAGAAAAGGUGGUAUCCUCACAAUUAUAUUCCUUCUUAGAGAAAAAUGGUAUAUGUGAGGAUUUCCAGUCAGGAUUUAGACCGUAUCAUAAUACUGAGACUGCUCUCCUUAGAGUUACAAAUGAUCUGCUCUUAUCAUCUGGUCGUGGGUGUAUCUAUCUAUUAGUUUUAUUGGAUCUUAGUGCUGUGUUUGACACAAUUGACCACAGCAUUCUUUUGCAUAGACUUGAACACUUUGUUGGCAUCAGUGGAAGUGCAUUAGCAUGUUUUACAUCGUACUUAUAUGACCGCCAUCAGUUCGUAGCAGUGAAUGAAGAUGUAUCAUAUUGA